This 64-nucleotide transfer RNA is filed under the name Macromedaeus distinguendus. RNAcentral's name for it is "tRNA-Cys". Lineage: Eukaryota; Metazoa; Arthropoda; Malacostraca; Decapoda; Xanthidae. The record is from RNAcentral.
GGUUCUAUAGUAAAAUAAAUAACGUUGAAUUGCAAAUUCGAAAAUGUGCUGGACACUAGAACUU